GUCAUCAGCAGUGGCAAAGAUAGAAAGCCUCAAAGAGGUCCUGGCUCUGCAGAUGUGGUCCAGAGGAGGCGGCUGAAAGGCCUAUUGACCCCGGCCUGUAGGAGGUCAUCAUUUAAUCAACUGCCUUCCUCACAUAUUUCAGCACCAGAUAGGUAAAAGAGCUGAAAAAUCAGGACCAGACCAGGACUACAACAAGCCUUUAUUAUGGGGAGGAUCUGCCGGGCUGUCUCCUAACAAAGGAAAAAGCAGCAUAGAGGAACAGGGACCUUCUUUUAUAGAGUGGGGUGGUGUCAACCUGAGCUGGGGUGGAGUUGAGUGAGGUAGCAUUAAGAGAUUGGAGGAACCUGUGACAUCACUAGGAGGGGCUUGUGACAUGACUGGUUACUCAGAGGUAGCAAGUAACAGGUUACUCUUUUGGCAUAAAGAGAGGCAUGAUGGGAAAAAGGCUGUCCCUUGGUAGGAAAAGCUAUCUUUAACCUGGAGGCUGCUAUUCAAUGUGGCACUCAUCUUAAGGUGUAGAGCAUUAUGGGAAGGAGGCUACUGUUUCAUGUAGCAGCCAUCUUGAGAAUAGCAAGCAAACAAGUGAAACCAUUUUGGAAAAAUAGACAAGAAAAUAAAAUAAAGUCCACCUCUGUGAGAAAAAAAACAACAACAACAAGAGAACUGAAUUUUAAAGAAGGGAGACAUGGCUAACUAACAUAGUUCAGGUAAGUCAAGGAUGAAAGUUCAAUUAAUUGUACAUUUGAAUUCACAUCCU
Molecule: long non-coding RNA, 757 nt
Filed under: Fukomys damarensis (Damara mole-rat)
Lineage: Eukaryota; Metazoa; Chordata; Mammalia; Rodentia; Bathyergidae
Description: lncRNA (ENSFDAG00000025795.1)
Source: RNAcentral